GGAUGCGAUCAUACCAGCGACUACA
RNAcentral lists this ribosomal RNA (25 nucleotides) under Saccharum sinense. The record is from RNAcentral. Lineage: Eukaryota; Viridiplantae; Streptophyta; Magnoliopsida; Poales; Poaceae.